Molecule: ribosomal RNA, 492 nt
Filed under: uncultured bacterium
Lineage: Bacteria
Description: partial 16S ribosomal RNA
Rfam family: Bacterial small subunit ribosomal RNA
Source: RNAcentral
AGUGAACGCUGGCGGUAGGCCUAACACAUGCAAGUCGAACGGCCGCACAGUAAGAGCUUGCUCUUACGGGUGGCGAGUGGCGGACGGGUGAGGAAUACAUCGGAAUCUACUUUUUCGUGGGGGAUAACGUAGGGAAACUUACGCUAAUACCGCAUACGACCUACGGGUGAAAGCAGGGGAUCUUCGGACCUUGCGCGAUUGAAUGAGCCGAUGUCGGAUUAGCUAGUUGGCGGGGUAAAGGCCCACCAAGGCGACGAUCCGUAGCUGGUCUGAGAGGAUGAUCAGCCACACUGGAACUGAGACACGGUCCAGACUCCUACGGGAGGCAGCAGUGGGGAAUAUUGGACAAUGGGCGCAAGCCUGAUCCAGCCAUACCGCGUGGGUGAAGAAGGCCUUCGGGUUGUAAAGCCCUUUUGUUGGGAAAGAAAAGCAGCAGGUUAAUACCCCGCUGUUCUGACGGUACCCAAAGAAUAAGCACUGGCUAACUUCGUG